GAUGAACGCUAGCUACAGGCUUAACACAUGCAAGUCGAGGGGAAACGGCAUUAAGUGCUUGCACUUUUUGGACGUCGACCGGCGCACGGGUGAGUAACGCGUAUCCAACCUUCCCAUGACUAAGGGAUAACCUGCCGAAAGGCAGACUAAUACCUUAUGGUCUUCACUGACGGCAUCAGAUGUGAAGUAAAGAUUUAUCGGUUAUGGAUGGGGAUGCGUCUGAUUAGCUUGUUGGCGGGGUAACGGCCCACCAAGGCAACGAUCAGUAGGGGUUCUGAGAGGAAGGUCCCCCACAUUGGAACUGAGACACGGUCCAAACUCCUACGGGAGGCAGCAGUGAGGAAUAUUGGUCAAUGGGCGAGAGCCUGAACCAGCCAAGUAGCGUGCAGGAGGACGGCCCUAUGGGUUGUAAACUGCUUUUGUAUGGGGAUAAAGUCAAUCACGUGUGAUUGUUUGCAGGUACCAUACGAAUAAGGACCGGCUAAUUCCGUG
Molecule: ribosomal RNA, 492 nt
Filed under: uncultured bacterium
Lineage: Bacteria
Description: partial 16S ribosomal RNA
Rfam family: Bacterial small subunit ribosomal RNA
Source: RNAcentral